Molecule: long non-coding RNA, 4060 nt
Organism: Lytechinus pictus (painted urchin)
Lineage: Eukaryota; Metazoa; Echinodermata; Echinoidea; Temnopleuroida; Toxopneustidae
Exons: 4
Source: RefSeq, a predicted model, not a curated record
GGGGGGCGGCGACAGGCUUGCGCAUGCGCACUUACCGCCAACAUUUGAAAAGAAUACCGUUUGCGUUGCGUUGCAGUUUAUUGAGCUCGAUCGAGAAGUGGGACGAAGAAGGCCGUUAAUAAUUCAACUACUUAAAGAAUGCGGGUUAGAUGUGGACGACUUCGAAGACAUUUGCAGUAGGCUAAACAGAGAAAGAGAGGGAGACCCAAAACUACUUGUCCUGGCAUCACAUUUGAGGAGGAGAUGAAGUCGGUGAAUAUGACCUAGCCCGGGGGAGUUUCCAGAAGACGGCCCAGAACCACUGGCCGCCAGGAGUGGAGGUCCUUUGUUGUUGCUCUACAUGUCAGGAGGCAUCGGGCAGUAGCCUUGGUAGAAGCACCAUCUUGAUACCAUCAUUCAAACUCUCAUCAGCUGUAUCAUUAUAGGUGGACUAAAAGAACAAUAUUCAUGCAGAUAUAAUGAUGCCUUAAGUUGAAAUGGAAGGUGUCCUGAAUCUGCACCCAUUCAUCUGGUUUCGUAACUCCUUUCAUAGUGCUAUUGGAACCUGCUCCCUACCAGUAUAACAUCAAACAGAUUGGAAGAAUAAAGGCCAAUGGGAAGUGCCUUUUAUAUUUCUACUUGCCACAAAGCAGUCCAUGGUUUAGCGCUAUCUAAACUGGACUAUUGUAAUGCUCUUCGUGCUUGAAUUAGGGCGAUCUGGACUGACUGCAUAUAGUACAGAAUGCUGCAUCUAUUGUGCCAUUUGCCAUACGCCAACUUCGCUGGCUGCAAGUCAAGGAAAGGAUAUACAUGAACAUCAGUGUCCGUCUCCUGAUUUUCAAAGUCAUUGACAGAGAUCCAGAUUACAUGUUUUAUAAGGAAUCCCUUGUGCGUCAUUUUCAUUCUAGGCGCACUUGCCUUUUUAUUUUUGUGAUCAUUACGCACCUACGAAUUAGCUACUGGUGAUGCAACUUUCUCCACUACUGCUCCAAGGCCGUGGAAUUAGCUCCUUCCUCUCCUCCAGUUGUCAACAACCUUGGAUCAAUCCAAAUACAAUUUGAGAAGACCUACCAUCCUGAUCUUUGCUCUGUACUUACAACAAUACUGUCACUGUCUGGUACUUUGAAUUUUUUUAAAUCUCAUGCGCUUUGUAUCUCGCAAAAUAACGUGUUGUGUAAAAGCGAACAUGCAUUGAGGUCAAGUUUAAGGGUAACCAUGGAUAUUGCCUGUUAUUACUUUUUAACAAAACUGAAAAAUUCAUCCAAAUUAGACAAGGGAUAAUAAAGUAAUGUAUGACAUUCUAACCUCUGCAUUAUUUUGGUGAAAGAGCUCUAAGCAUAUAUGCAAGUAGCAAGCUGAUGAUGUCAUACUGACGUACAUUGUACAUGUACACGUAUCCCCAACUUAUUAUUUUGUAUAUAAAAUUGUGCAUUUAAUUUUGUUUACCAAGAAUGAAACAAAUCGGAUUGUAAACUGUAUUGAUGUGACUUACCUGUAUUGAUUAAUGCUGGAAGUUCUUUUGCUACAUGGGAUUGGAAGACAUACUUAUUACACACAUGAAGUAAAUUAUGAUUUUAUCUGGUAACAUGAGAACAAUAAAAAUGUGGGCAUGAUAUCAUAAACUUACAUGUAUCUACUUGCAUGUGUUGAUGACCAAUAUUUUUGUAAUUAUUUUUUUUUAAAUUUUAUCUGAUUUUGAUAAAAUUUUCACUAUUUUGCAUGGUAAAAAUUACUUUAUUUUAGAUUAUGUUGAGCCCGUAUCAUAUACAAGUACAACUUUAAAGAUAAAUUACCAGUUGUAGUAACAAUCUUAAAAUGAGUUCGAACAGAAUCCAAUAGAAUUACCAGCAAAAUAUAAAAGACAUGUGCCAUAAUUAAUUAUAGCUCGGGAAGAAAAUGUGUAAUUGCUGAGAAAUGAGCAAAAUAAGCAUGUAAUUCUAUCCAAUGUCAGGUAUUUUUCAAAUCAAUCAUAAUACACUGUCCUGUCCCACAUGUUCUUUUCUGUGUUAGUGAUCAUCAAAAUAAUUAAUUUUAAGUUCAAAAUUAGUGAUUUUACAAAAAUACAAGCUUACAUUAAUGUACCAGAUCUAGAGAUUAUGUACAAUAUUUUGACAAUUUCUCAUGAAAUAAUUGUUUGCUGCAACUGCUGUCUUUUUAAUACGUUUAAGUGAUAGUGUAAUACAACCACAAACUUUUCUUAAGAAUUAAUGUACAUGUAUGAUUCUUUCACCCAAAUUUACAUGCAUUGAUACUGUUGACUACUUGCCAAAAGUUCCUGCCAAAAGCCUUUUUUAACGAUGUACAUGCUUUUAUAGACGACCUGCCAAAACAUUGUAUUGUAUUAUAUUCAAGGUCCAACCAAAAAGAGAUGAAUAAAAUGUUUGAAGGAAAUUGAAAUUAACUUUAAAAAUGAUAGAGCUCUGUCAAUGCGGUAUUAUUACAGGGUUCCCACAGUCAUGGAAAAUCCUGGAAAAAAAAUUGGUCAUGGAAAGUCAGGGAUAUGUGAAAAGUCAUGGAAUUGCAUUUACCUCUUGGCUAUGACAGCUUUCUAGUUUUUUAUGUCUCACAACUCUCAUACUCUGUGAUUGUACUCUACUAUUAUAAUUGGUGUUCAUGAUCAUAACAUGUCUGAUUUUGUAAACUGUGCCAGAAAGGAAUUAAGUCAUGGAGAGGUCAUGGAAUUCUGUUUUCAAAUUUCUGUGGGAACCAUGAAUAGGUUUGUGCACUUGACACAGUGUGCACUACAGAUGAACUUUGUAAUGCCAUGAUAUAAACCAGUACAAUAUCUUAAAGGAAAAUAAAACCCAAAAUAUAAUACCACAUGAUACCAUUGAUAAAUACAGGACAAUGAAAAUGAAUCCACUCAUAUACCCCCAAUCCGAUGUCCCAGUAUGGAGUACCACCUUUUCAAAGUUGGCAUCUUCUGGUACAAAGUCUAUGGAUGGGGAUUAUUCCGUCAGCGACGAACUACAUCUCUAAACGUUUGGGCAUUAUAUAUUCUAUUUCAUCGAUAAUAAAUCAAAUGUACAGAUAAAACUCGUAAAAUAUUAAUUAAAAUUUGUUUAAUAUUAUAUGAUAGGUUCAAAUUACGACUUGAUGAGUUUUAAUGAUAAAAAUUACACCCUAAUCUACGAUUUACAAAUUGGCAGCGGAAAUUGGGGUGUAAAUCUUAUCAUUAAAACUCAUCAAAUUGUAUUUUGAACCUACCAUAUAUUAAACAAAUUUUAACUAAUAUUUUUAUGAGUUUUAUCUGUACAUUUGAUUUGUUAUUGAUAAAAUAGAAUAUAUAAUGCCUAAAGGUUUAGAGAUGUAGUUCGUCGCUGAUGUAAUAAUUUCCUAACUAACCCUGCGAAAAUGGCGACCUCCAUCCAGAAACUUCGAACCAUACUGUAAGAGGCCAACUUUGAAAAGGUGGUACUCCGUAAUUGGAUUAGGGUAUGAGUGGAUUCAUGUUGAUUGUCCUGUAUUUAUCAAUAAUAUCAUGUGGUAUUAUGUUUUGGGUGUUAUUUUCCUUUAAUUCAGAUAUUACAUGCCAGGGUAUUGUCCUAGUUUUCAUUUUCUCCAAAUACAUAUUAUCAUCUCUCGUCUAUUUCUACUUGCCCUUCAGCCUUGAAGUAAACUUGGGAUAAUUAUGCAUUUUGUUAUACGCAAUUUUGAGUACAGUGCACUUUGCCGCAGCUACUUAUAUGAUAUUACCUAUUGUAGACACAUCCUUAUGUUUUGUUCAUUUUCUUAAAAACGAUUAAGAGUUUAAUCAUUUUUGUCUUUAAGCAUAAAACAGAGUAAAUCAGUCCAUUCUGUAUGUGUGACCUGCAAAAAAACUACAAUGGUCGUUAAUUUGGUUUGCUGAAAAGCCAGAUAACUUUUGAGGUAACUUUUUAAAGUAUUUAGAAGAAAUGUAUCUUUUUUUAAAGUAUUUAUAUGCACUGUAACUAAUUUCUUUGAUAGUUACUAUUAUGUUACACUGUUUGUACAGUAAAGCAGCUGUUACACAAUUUUUGUCAAUAGCAAAUCUAAACCAGUAUUGUAAAUUGAUGACUCUAUGAGCUAAAUACCAGUACUUUCUAUAUCACUUGUAAAA